Molecule: long non-coding RNA, 1066 nt
Filed under: Acyrthosiphon pisum (pea aphid)
Lineage: Eukaryota; Metazoa; Arthropoda; Insecta; Hemiptera; Aphididae
Description: uncharacterized LOC107885175, transcript variant X2
Source: RNAcentral
CAUAACGGUCAGCGCUCGCGAAUUUUUAGUCCGUAGAUCGGAAAUCGUAAUCUCAGUAGUAUAAAUUUAUAAUAUUUUGUUCGAGACUUUUAUUUAAAAUGUUUAUUUCGUUUUUCAGUUACCUACCUUAUAAGAUCUACAGCUUAAAAAUAAUACGUCAUACGAUUUAAAUACAACGAACUUUAGUUUGAAACAUUCAAGUUUAGGUAGGUAAUUCGUUUUCUGUUAGAUAAUGUAGUACCUAGCACUUGAAAGUAAUCAUUAUACGAUUUAAUUAUUUAAAUACAACAAAUGGUACACCAACAUGAACGGCUCAUUCUAUUCUGAAUUUAUAAAUAUGAAUUCCUUCAAACAACAAAUGUGUGCGAUAAUAAUUCACUCCAAUUACACAGUGAUUUAGCAAAUGAGAGAGUAGAUGAAUGACUGUGGCUGAGACUGCCUCAAAAGAGACUACCCAGAUGUACAAUGAUGACCUAGAAUUAUCUCAUGUGCCUUUAUAUCAGAAUUAUCAAGAUGUGAUAAAUUAUUCUCCUGAAGCUGCUUGUCACAUAAGGGAGAGUGACAUUUGAUUCCAGAACAGAAGAUAUAUCUGUGGAUUUUGUGAUUGUUUCUUCAUCCAAAGCCAAAACACCAAUGAGCAGAGAUUGUUUAAGAUAAAGCUGUUAUUUGUCUGACUGAAAUGGAAGUACUGCACACACGAACUGAAUUGGACGAAUCUUUGACAAUAAAUAUGUACCUCUUUCAAUUUGUAAAUUAUUAUUCAUCAAUAAUUUAUACAGCUUUUUUGAAAGGCAAAAAUGUUGGUUAUCUUGCUAAAUAUUUGCAUAUAGUUAUAUUCAAUCUUUGCCGAGAAGAAUGUAUUUCAGAUGGAUCUCUCAUGGAAUUAAGUAUCAAAUUGUUUAUUAUAAUGGUUGGGCAACAAUCAUCAAAGACUGUAUUGUAUUGGUUUUUUAGUUAAAGCCAAAAACUAAAACUGUUUAUAUUUAAGUCUGGGUUGAAAUUGACUGAGAACACAGGUCUCUUAGAUAAUUUGAAAUCAUCAUCCGGAGAAGAAAAUUUGGCCACA